RNAcentral lists this ribosomal RNA (429 nucleotides) under Chloroflexota bacterium. RNAcentral's name for it is "Chloroflexi bacterium partial 16S ribosomal RNA". It matches the Rfam family "Bacterial small subunit ribosomal RNA", at positions 355 to 776 of the family's 1533-position model. Lineage: Bacteria; Bacillati; Chloroflexota. The record is from RNAcentral.
UGGGGAAUAUUGCACAAUGGGCGCAAGCCUGAUGCAGCCAUGCCGCGUGUGUGAAGAAGGCCUUCGGGUUGUAAAGCACUUUCAGCGGGGAGGAAGGCGUUAAGGUUAAUAACCUUGGCGAUUGACGUUACCCGCAGAAGAAGCACCGGCUAACUCCGUGCCAGCAGCCGCGGUAAUACGGAGGGUGCAAGCGUUAAUCGGAAUUACUGGGCGUAAAGCGCACGCAGGCGGUCUGUCAAGUCGGAUGUGAAAUCCCCGGGCUCAACCUGGGAACUGCAUUCGAAACUGGCAGGCUAGAGUCUUGUAGAGGGGGGUAGAAUUCCAGGUGUAGCGGUGAAAUGCGUAGCGAUCUGGAGGAAUACCGGUGGCGAAGGCGGCCCCCUGGACAAAGACUGACGCUCAGGUGCGAAAGCGUGGGGAGCAAACAGG